GGGACUUGGGCAGACACGAUUUCCUUGAAUCUGCUCCUGGUUUGGGAAUGUUUGUGACUGUUACAACUUACAGUGAUGAGGUAUUACUGUCAAAGUUAUAUGGCCCACAAGGAACAUUCUAUUUCACUUCACAUUCACCUGGCGAACACAUCAUUUGCUUAGAAUCUAAUUCUACAAGGCUUGUGUCAUUUGGAGGGAGUAAGCUGCGGAUCCACUUAGAUAUUCGAGUUGGAGAACAUGACCUUGAUGCAGCCAUUGCUCAAGCAAAGGACAAAGUUAAUGAAGUUAGCUUCAAGCUUGAACAUCUAAUUGAGCAAAUGGAGCAAGUAGUCA
Eubalaena glacialis (North Atlantic right whale) is the source of this 333-nucleotide long non-coding RNA. RefSeq lists it as uncharacterized. The record is from RefSeq and is a predicted model, not a curated record. Lineage: Eukaryota; Metazoa; Chordata; Mammalia; Artiodactyla; Balaenidae. The transcript is spliced from 3 exons.